This 253-nucleotide ribosomal RNA is filed under the name uncultured bacterium. RNAcentral describes it as "partial 16S ribosomal RNA". It matches the Rfam family "Bacterial small subunit ribosomal RNA", at positions 524 to 776 of the family's 1533-position model. The record is from RNAcentral.
UACGGAGGGUGCGAGCGUUACCCGGAAUCACUGGGCGUAAAGCGCACGUAGGCGGCUUUGUAAGUUAGAGGUGAAAGCCUGGAGCUCAACUCCAGAAUUGCCUUUAAGACUGCAUCGCUUGAAUCCAGGAGAGGUGAGUGGAAUUCCGAGUGUAGAGGUGAAAUUCGUAGAUAUUCGGAAGAACACCAGUGGCGAAGGCGGCUCACUGGACUGGUAUUGACGCUGAGGUGCGAAAGCGUGGGGAGCAAACAGG